RNAcentral lists this ribosomal RNA (492 nucleotides) under Triticum aestivum (bread wheat). RNAcentral describes it as "partial small subunit ribosomal RNA". Lineage: Eukaryota; Viridiplantae; Streptophyta; Magnoliopsida; Poales; Poaceae. The record is from RNAcentral.
AUGCGGCGUUUGCCCAGCGAGCCGCGCGGUGCCGCCGACGAGGAGUCAUCGUCCUUGAUCUCGCCCUCCUCCCUCUCCUUCGGACCCUCCGAUGCGGGCCGCGUCUCCGUGUCCUCGGCCAUGCCCGCUCGCCGCCGCACGCCCCGUCGGCUGCCCGACACCCGCGCGACCCCGCCCGCUGUCAGAGGCCGUCGCCCUCGCCCGCUGCCGGAGACCCCGGCCCACGGCCGCCGCCCCUCGUCCGUUGCGGGAUACUCGCGAGCGCGCCGCCCGCUCGCCUCGUCCACUGCGUCACAGGGCAACAUCCCUCGGCAGCGCCCCGCUCCCCGUGCUGCCCACCGCGAACCCCGGCCAGUGCGCCCUCCCUUGGCGGCGUCUACGUUUGGGCGAAGUCGAGCCAGCGGGCGUCGUCUGGCUCCCCUCCUCCGGGCGGCCAUGGAGGAGCCAUGCACUGCUAAUGUAGUAUCUCUUGUUUUUGAUAAUUUCGCAUAA